Molecule: long non-coding RNA, 780 nt
Filed under: Bemisia tabaci
Lineage: Eukaryota; Metazoa; Arthropoda; Insecta; Hemiptera; Aleyrodidae
Description: lncRNA ENSSSA2NGG002941
Source: RNAcentral
GUGGCUUUUGCCCUCGCGCGCUCUUUAUUGUUGCGCAUCCCGUGCGGUCCCGUCCACGUCCACGUUUACGUCCGCCAACGUCGAAAGUUACCGCGCAUCGAACCGGCUGAAUUUCAGCCACGCGGAUCGCCGCUUUACGCUAAUCAGACGAUCCCCUUUCUCCCCCUCCUGGUGACCGCGAGAUUCGAGUGUCUCCCCGAGACGUUACUUGGACCGCAGCGUUAUCCCAACGUUCCCACUUCGGGAUCUUGACCUUACCGCAACCAUCCUUCUCAGUUUAUUUCAAGAACGGUCGUUGUGUCGAUGAUCGCGGUGAAUUCCGCGACGAUCAAAAGCGAAUUCCGUUGGUGAUAAGCGUCGUUGUUAUCAUGAGAAGUGAUAUGUUUCUCCACUUUGUUCGUAUGGAUUACCACAUAUUUUUCUCAAAGGAUACUUUUAUUAGACCUGGCAGCUAAGUGACAGGGUUUAAAAAAUUGAAUCCAUUUUUAAUGCUUUAUCUAACGUGGUGGAGGGUUAUUGCUGUGAUGGUCCAUUGACUUAAGAUCUUUGCAUGUUAAAAUGUUUGGACUAGAAAACACGUGUCUCGAGUCGGAGACUUAUUUUACAUUAAUUUAUUUUUGUUUCUAUUAAAUGUUGUUUAUUUUCUUUUUCAUGUAAACAGAUCGUAACUUUUUAUUCAACUUUGCCUAAUUUAAAAAUCCUUUGGGCCCUUUUUCUGAUUUUUUCACAUGCACCAUCAGUUAGUGGUGUUCUCACUCAGUCGAGAUAAGUGUUUUUCGA